Brochothrix thermosphacta is the source of this 231-nucleotide non-coding RNA. Lineage: Bacteria; Bacillati; Bacillota; Bacilli; Caryophanales; Listeriaceae. The record is from Rfam.
GAUAAAACGAUGAUAAGAAAUAGUAAUAGAGGUUGUUGUUGCAAAGAGAGUCAGUGGUUGGUGUGAACUGAUGAAUAACCCUUUAUGAAUCCAUCUUUGAGUGAACAGUGGAAUGAGCGUGCUCUAUUAAAUUGUUCCGGUGAUAAGCCGUUAAACAAAUUAAGUGGGAAAACAAAGCAAUUGUUUUGUUUUCCAAUUAGGGUGGCACCGCGAUAGAUACUCGUCCCUUCU